GAUGAACGCUGGCGGCGUGCCUAAUACAUGCAAGUCGAGCGAACAGACGAGGAGCUUGCUCCUCUGACGUUAGCGGCGGACGGGUGAGUAACACGUGGAUAACCUACCUAUAAGACUGGGAUAAAUUCGGGAAAACGGAGCUAAUACCGGAGAAUAUAUUGAACCGCAUGAUUCAAUAGUGAAAGAAGGUUUUGCUGUCACUUAUAGAUGGAUCCGCGCCACAUUAGCAAGUUGGUAAGGUAACGGCUUACCAAGGCAACGAUGCGUAGCCGACCUGAGAGGGUGAUCGGCCACACUGGAACUGAUACACGGUCCAUACUCCUACGGGAGGCAGCAGUAGGUAAUCUUCCUCAAUGGGUGAAAGCCUGACGGAGCAACGCCGCGUGAGUUAUGAAGGUCUUCGGAUCGUAAAACUCUGUUAUUAGGGAAGAACAAAUGUGUAAGUAACUAUGCACGUCUUGACGGUACCUAAUCAGAAAGCCACGGCUAACUACGUG
Molecule: ribosomal RNA, 497 nt
Filed under: uncultured bacterium
Lineage: Bacteria
Description: partial 16S ribosomal RNA
Rfam family: Bacterial small subunit ribosomal RNA
Source: RNAcentral